This 483-nucleotide ribosomal RNA is filed under the name uncultured bacterium. RNAcentral's name for it is "bacterial SSU rRNA". It matches the Rfam family "Bacterial small subunit ribosomal RNA", at positions 33 to 507 of the family's 1533-position model. The record is from RNAcentral.
GACGACGCUGGCGGGCGUGCCUAACACAUGCAAGUCGAGCGGAGUCGAUCGACGGAAGCCUUCGGGCGGAAGAUGGUUGACUUAGCGGCGGGAUGGGUGAGUAACGCGUGGGCAACCUGCCUCGAAGACCGGGAUAACAGCCCGAAAGGGCUGCUAAUACCGGAUGUGGUCAAGGAUCCGCAUGGAUUUUGAUUAAAGGGGAAACCCGUUUCGAGAUGGGCCCGCGUCCUAUCAGCUAGUUGGUGAGGUAAAAGCUCACCAAGGCGACGACGGGUAGCCGGCCUGAGAGGGUGACCGGCCACACUGGAACUGAGACACGGUCCAGACUCCUACGGGGGGCAGCAGUGGGGAAUCUUCCACAAUGGGCGAAAGCCUGAUGGAGCGACGCCGCGUGAGCGAAGAAGGCCUUCGGGUUGUAAAGCUCUGUCUGGAGGGACGAAGGAAGUGACGGUACCUCCGGAGGAAGCCACGGCUAACUACGUG